AUGCCUGCUGAGUCUAAUUGUGGCUGUGCCUAUGGAGCAUCAGCGCUUUGCCCGUUCUGACUCUGAUGAGACAAGCUCAACUUCUCUCUCGCUGACCGACCUCAUCACUCUUCUACAAGCAAUUAUAGCUGCAACUGCAGCAUAAAGCCUGGAAUGUUAACAAUGACCAGUCAGUUCCAAACCAGCAUUUCUGACUAGAAAGGUUUUUCACUCAACAUUCAGGAAAACAUUUUUUUCCUCUGCUUGUUUGCAUGACAAAUAAACCUUAAGAAUGAAAA
Long non-coding RNA from Xiphophorus couchianus (Monterrey platyfish), 278 nucleotides. RefSeq lists it as uncharacterized. The record is from RefSeq and is a predicted model, not a curated record. The transcript is spliced from 4 exons. NCBI's taxonomy places the organism in Eukaryota, Metazoa, Chordata, Actinopteri, Cyprinodontiformes, Poeciliidae.